RNAcentral lists this ribosomal RNA (253 nucleotides) under uncultured bacterium. RNAcentral's name for it is "partial 16S ribosomal RNA". It matches the Rfam family "Bacterial small subunit ribosomal RNA", at positions 524 to 776 of the family's 1533-position model. The record is from RNAcentral.
UACGUAGGGGGCAAGCGUUGUCCGGAUUUAUUGGGCGUAAAGAGCGUGUAGGCGGCCAUGCAGGUCCGUUGUGAAAACUCGAGGCUCAACCUCGAGACGCCGAUGGAAACCGCAUGGCUAGAGUCCGGAAGAGGAGAGUGGAAUUCCUGGUGUAGCGGUGAAAUGCGCAGAUAUCAGGAAGAACACCCGUGGCUAAGGCGGCUCUCUAGUACGGUACUGACGCUGAGACGCGAAAGCGUGGGGGGCGAACAGG